This 429-nucleotide ribosomal RNA is filed under the name Chloroflexota bacterium. RNAcentral's name for it is "Chloroflexi bacterium partial 16S ribosomal RNA". It matches the Rfam family "Bacterial small subunit ribosomal RNA", at positions 355 to 776 of the family's 1533-position model. The record is from RNAcentral. Lineage: Bacteria; Bacillati; Chloroflexota.
UGGGGAAUAUUGCACAAUGGGCGCAAGCCUGAUGAAGCCAUGCCGCGUGUGUGAAGAAGGCCUUCGGGUUGUAAAGCACUUUAAGCGGGGCGGAAGGCGAUAAGGUUAAUAACCUUGUCGAUUGACGUUACCCGCAGAAGAAGCACCGGCUAACUCCGUGCCAGCAGCCGCGGUAAUACGGAGGGUGCAAGCGUUAAUCGGAAUUACUGGGCGUAAAGCGCACGCAGGCGGUCUGUCAAGUCGGAUGUGAAAUCCCCGGGCUUAACCUGGGAACUGCAUUCGAAACUGGCAGGCUAGAGGCUUGUAGAGGGGGGUAGAAUUCCAGGUGUAGCGGUGAAAUGCGUAGAGAUCUGGAGGAAUACCGGGGGCGAAGGCGGCCCCCUGGACAAAGACUGACGCUCAGGUGCGAAAGCGUGGGGAGCAAACAGG